GGGCGGUGGGCAUGGAACGGGAUGCACAGGGCUGUGGGCACGGCCCCAGUGCUGGAGUUCAAGGAGCAUCUGGACAGCGCUCUCAGACAUAGGGUUGGGUUUGGGUGGUGCUGUGUGGAGCCAGGGGUUGGACUCAGUGAUCCUUGUGGGUCCCUUCCAACUCGGGAUACCUUCUGUGGGUCUGUGAUAACAAUACACGUGAUACAAUACAUAUGAGAAAUAGUACUAACAGGACAGCUUUCCUACCACUGAGGUAUUCAGAGCAGAUUUUGUACUUAAGAAUGCUGAGUAAGAGCAAAAACCAGUCCGGAGAGCACAAGCCUGAGGAUAUGGAGAUGGACAUUUCCCUAAUGAGUACAGCAGGAUUGCUGUGCUUCCUCACCACCCUACACCCAAACUGCACCUCUCUGCUCCAUACUAUACAGUGACAGAGCCUCAGCACGCUACCACGGUCACACCUCGUCCCUGUGGCCCUGGCUCGGCGCGCAUGGAGCCCAAUCUCCACACGGACCGUUCCGAAUCUCCACACGGACCGUUCCGAACCCCCACCGCCUCCACCCCGAAACGCCCGUGACGCUCUGCCAACGGGCAGCAGCGAGAACCAAUGGGCGAGUCCCGCCGCGCUGGCGUCAGCCAAUAGGAAAGCGAGCGGUGGGCGUGGCUCGGCGGAGAGCGUUGCGGCCGUUGCGAACGAUGAGGGAACGUAGUGCGCUCUCCAGCGCCUCCCCCGCUCCUUUCCUCCUCAGGGAGCAAGGGCCGCCGGAUCCUUACCUGCGGCGGACAUGGAGGCGGAAAACGGGCCCCCGAUCGGCCCGGGGUGGGCGGUGGAGCGAGCCGGAUCUCCGACACGGGCAGGAGCAGCCGCCCCAUGUUUCACCACACAGUGCCUGGGUAGCUUCACACACCUUCAGAAUCACAGAAUUGUAGGGGUUGGGAGGGACCUCUAGAGAUCAUCGAGUCCAACCCCCCUGCCAAAGCAGGCUCCCUACACCACGUCACACAGGUAGGUGUCCAGGCGGGUCUUGAGUAUCUCCAGAGAAGGAGACUCCACCACCUCCCUGGGCAGCCUUGUUGCCUCACGUGUUGCCUUGGUUCUUCAAAAACUGCUUGUUGGAAGGGAGAAAUCCAGUUGCAAAUGGUUUAAACAGCUGCAAAAGGCGGUACUCGCUUUACAUGAGGUUUUCUGACUUUAUGAAGUGUGGUAGCAGGGCUCCUCUCCUUACAGAAAUGCUUUGGGAAGGGCAGAACGUACAAAUUUCAGCCUCA
This 1266-nucleotide long non-coding RNA is filed under the name Coturnix japonica (Japanese quail). RNAcentral describes it as "lncRNA (ENSCJPG00005006345.1)". Lineage: Eukaryota; Metazoa; Chordata; Aves; Galliformes; Phasianidae. The record is from RNAcentral.